CAAAUAUAUACAUAAUAAAUUCUGAACAAAUUUAAAGUCAAUUUUAAAUGAAUCAUUAAGAAAUUCUUAAUGAAUUCCAAAUAAAAUAUUCGAAUACUCCAAUUCUUAUAAAGUGAUUCAGUUCGUGUGAGGAAGCCAUGUAAUUAACGAAAAAGGCAACCAAACAACCGAAUGACUUCGUAAUAGAGCGCUUAGGCGCAAUCGCUUUGCCGAUUGCAUUAAAGCUCCAUUAAGAGGGGACGACUCGGAUCGGAUCGGAUCGGAGCUGCCGAAUGCAGUCGAGCAUUCAAAUUAAAAUUGAAUCAUUAUUAAAAUUCAUUUAGCAGAAGAGAGAGAGAGAGAAAGAGAACUCUGAGUCGAUUCACCGACUCGACAACCUCAUUAAAAUGGAUAGCUAAAGGCAGUUAAGGCGACAGGUCGAACAGCACUCAGCGCCAAUGAGCUCGCUCUCUACUAACACACACUGCUGUCUCUGAAUAUAUGUAUGUGUGUGUGUGUGUGUGUUUGCAUUUGGCAAAUUGUAAAAAUUUAAUUCGCAUAUCAUGCGCGAUAAUCAGCGGCGUGCAUUAUAAAACCAUAAAAAUCGCAAAAGCGCGGCCAUAAACCGCAACUGAGGCAAGUUGUGGCAUCUGGAGGCUGAAAGGGGCCGCAGACGGUGGGGGGAAAGGCACAAUUGUCGCAUGCAGUGCUAAUAAAUAUCCGAUUAUAUGGUAAUUGUAUGCUCGUUUAGUUCCCCCCGGCAAAAAUGGUUGUGUUCGGUUUUAGUUGGCAGCUCCUUUUUGGCGAAUUCGACCGCCCUCGGAGGAAGAAUUUGCAUUUGGCACAGCUGCAAAUGGCAAAUUGAAUGCCCAACUCGAUUGCAAUUUGAAUUUUAAUAAAUAUUUAUGCCACUCUCGCUCGGUCUCAUUAUUUGGCCAGCAGACUUCAUCUUAAA
Drosophila sulfurigaster albostrigata is the source of this 934-nucleotide long non-coding RNA. RefSeq lists it as uncharacterized. NCBI's taxonomy places the organism in Eukaryota, Metazoa, Arthropoda, Insecta, Diptera, Drosophilidae. The record is from RefSeq and is a predicted model, not a curated record. The transcript is spliced from 2 exons.